GACGAACGCUGGCGGCGUGCCUAAUACAUGCAAGUAGAACGCUGAAGGAGGAGCUUGCUUCUCUGGAUGAGUUGCGAACGGGUGAGUAACGCGUAGGUAACCUGCCUGGUAGCGGGGGAUAACUAUUGGAAACGAUAGCUAAUACCGCAUAAUAGUAGAUGUUGCAUGACAUUUGCCUAAAAGGUGCAAUUGCAUCACUACCAGAUGGACCUGCGUUGUAUUAGCUAGUUGGUGGGGUAACGGCUCACCAAGGCGACGAUACAUAGCCGACCUGAGAGGGUGAUCGGCCACACUGGGACUGAGACACGGCCCAGACUCCUACGGGAGGCAGCAGUAGGGAAUCUUCGGCAAUAGACGGAAGGCUGAACGAGCAACGCCGCGGGAGUGAAGAAGGUUUUCGGAUCGUAAAGCUCUGUUGUAAGAGAAGAACGAGUGUGAGAGUGGAAAGUUCACACUGUGACGGUAUCUUACCAGAAAGGGACGGCUAACUACGUG
Molecule: ribosomal RNA, 495 nt
Filed under: uncultured bacterium
Lineage: Bacteria
Description: partial 16S ribosomal RNA
Rfam family: Bacterial small subunit ribosomal RNA
Source: RNAcentral